RNAcentral lists this ribosomal RNA (460 nucleotides) under uncultured bacterium. RNAcentral's name for it is "partial 16S ribosomal RNA". It matches the Rfam family "Bacterial small subunit ribosomal RNA", at positions 338 to 795 of the family's 1533-position model. The record is from RNAcentral.
CCUACGGGUGGCAGCAGUGAGGAAUAUUGGUCAAUGGACGAGAGGCUGAACCAGCCAAGCAGCGUGAAGGAUGACUGUGCUAAGCGUUGUAAACUUCUUUUAUAAAGGAAUAAAAUGAGGCUCGUGUGCCUUUUUGCAUGUACUUUAUGAAUAAGGAUCGGCUAACUCCGUGCCAGCAGCCGCGGUAAUACGGAGGAUCCGAGCGUUAUCCGGAUUUAUUGGGUUUAAAGGGAGCGUAGGUGGGAUGUUAAGUCAGUUGUGAAAGUGUGUGGCUCAACCGUAGACUUGCAAUUGAUACUGGCUGUCUUGAGUAGACUAGAGGUAUGCGGAAUUCGUGGUGUAGCGGUGAAAUGCUUAGAUAUCGCGAAGAACCCCGAUUGCGAAGGCAGCAUACUGGCGGGGAACUGACGUUGAGGCACGAAAGUGUGGGUAUCGAACAGGAUUAGAUACCCCUGUAGUC